This 253-nucleotide ribosomal RNA is filed under the name uncultured bacterium. RNAcentral describes it as "partial 16S ribosomal RNA". It matches the Rfam family "Bacterial small subunit ribosomal RNA", at positions 524 to 776 of the family's 1533-position model. The record is from RNAcentral.
UACGUAGGGUGCGAGCGUUGUCCGGAAUUACUGGGCGUAAAGAGCUCGUAGGUGGUUUGUCGCGUUGUUCGUGAAAUCUCACGGCUUAACUGUGAGCGUGCGGGCGAUACGGGCAGACUUGAGUACUGCAGGGGAGACUGGAAUUCCUGGUGUAGCGGUGGAAUGCGCAGAUAUCAGGAGGAACACCGGUGGCGAAGGCGGCAUCCUGGACCGGCAUUGACGCUGAUGAGCGAAAGCUAGGGGAGCAAACAGG